GUGCCAGCAGCCGCGGUAAUACGUAGGGGGCGAGCGUUAUCCGGAAUUACUGGGUGUAAAGGGUGCGUAGGCGGUAUGGCAAGUCAGUUGUGAAACCCCCUGGCUCAACCAGGGGCUUGCAAUUGAAACUGUCAUACUUGAGUGCAGGAGAGGAAAGUGGAAUUCCUAGUGUAGCGGUGAAAUGCGUAGAUAUUAGGAGGAACACCAGUAGCGAAGGCGGCUUUCUGGACUGUAACUGACACUGAGGCACGAAAGCGUGGGGAGCAAACAGGAUUAGAUACCCUGGUAGUCCACGCCGUAAACGAUGAGUGCUAGGUGUCGGGGCCGUGAGUCCCGGUGCUGAAGUCAACGCAUUAAGCACUCCACCUGGGGAGUACGUUCGCAAGAAUGAAACUUAAAUAAAUUGACGG
RNAcentral lists this ribosomal RNA (410 nucleotides) under uncultured bacterium. Its description in RNAcentral is "bacterial SSU rRNA". It matches the Rfam family "Bacterial small subunit ribosomal RNA", at positions 505 to 916 of the family's 1533-position model. The record is from RNAcentral.